UACGGGAGGCAGCAGUAAGGAAUAUUGGUCAAUGGACGCAAGUCUGAACCAGCCAUGCCGCGUGAAGGAUGAAGGUCCUCUGGAUUGUAAACUUCUUUUAUGUGGGACGAAAACUUCUUUUCUAAGAAGACUGACGGUACCAUAGGAAUAAGCACCGGCUAACUCCGUGCCAGCAGCCGCGGUAAUACGGAGGGUGCAAGCGUUAUCCGGAUUCACUGGGUUUAAAGGGAGCGUAGGAGGGCAGGUAAGUCAGUGGUGAAAUCUUCGAGCUUAACUCGGAAACUGCCGUUGAUACUAUCUGUCUUGAAUACCGUGGAGAUGAGCGGAAUAUGUCAUGUAGCGGUGAAAUGCUUAGAUAUGACAUAGAACACCAAUUGCGAAGGCAGCUCGUUACACGAAUAUUGACUCUGAGGCUCGAAAGCGUGGGGAUCAAACAGGAUUAGAUACCCUGGUAG
This 455-nucleotide ribosomal RNA is filed under the name uncultured Bacteroidota bacterium. RNAcentral describes it as "bacterial SSU rRNA". It matches the Rfam family "Bacterial small subunit ribosomal RNA", at positions 340 to 793 of the family's 1533-position model. Lineage: Bacteria; Pseudomonadati; Bacteroidota. The record is from RNAcentral.